RNAcentral lists this ribosomal RNA (207 nucleotides) under uncultured bacterium. RNAcentral describes it as "partial 16S ribosomal RNA". It matches the Rfam family "Bacterial small subunit ribosomal RNA", at positions 568 to 774 of the family's 1533-position model. The record is from RNAcentral.
CACGUAGGCGGCUCAGCCAGUGCGGAGUGAAAGCCCACGGCUCACCCGUGGAAUUGCUUCGCAUACUACUGAGCUCGAGUGCAGGAGAGGAGAGCGGAACUCUUGGUGGAGCGGUGAAAUGCGUAGAUAUCGAGAGGAACACCAAAGGCGAAGGCAGCUCUCUGGCCUGUGUCUGACGCUGAGGUGCGAAAGCCAGGGUAGCGAACG